GAUUUCUGGUUUGACGAGUAUCUGGCCCGCCAAGUUCGCUUGUGUGUGUGCCGGAUUUCGUCUGCCAUCCUUCUAAGCUUGAAGCGGCAUAGUCCUUUAUUGGGCUGUGUUGUGUUCUGGCUUAGAUCUUUGACUUUGAACAAAUUAGAGUGUUUCAGGCAGGCUGUGUGCUAUGAAUACAUUAGCAUGGAAUAAUAAUUUAGGACUUCGGUUCUAUUUUGUUGGUUUCUAGGACUGAAGUAAUGAUUGAUAGGGAUAGUUGGGGGUGCUAGUAUUCAGCGGCCAGAGGUGAAAUUCUCGGAUUCGCUGAAGACUAACUUAUGCGAAAGCAUU
Molecule: ribosomal RNA, 333 nt
Filed under: Cercozoa sp.
Lineage: Eukaryota; Cercozoa
Description: SSU rRNA
Rfam family: Eukaryotic small subunit ribosomal RNA (bases 121-333)
Source: RNAcentral